UAAGAAGGAUUUCAUUUAAACAUAAUUAAGAUACAUAAGUUUGAACUGGACGUACGGUAUGUCCCACUUCCAGUUACAUCAAAAUAUAAAUGUGGCAAGAUAAAAGUUGGUGGAUUUUCAAAACACAAAAUAUCAUUUGAUUGUUGAUCCAUUUUUUCUUUCCCAUACUUGGUUAAAGCGUCUUCCACUCCAUUACCCUCUUUGAAUAUAUGGUGUAUCAUGGUCACCUGGAGAUCCUUGAUCAUAGUCCUGCAUUCAAAAAGAAUGUGUGAGUAUUUUGGUGGAGAUGUUCGUAGCUAAAGCCGUUUCUUUUUUGUAGUGAUUCACCUGAUUCAUUGCGAAAAACUCCUGCUGCUCCUCCCUUAUGGGAUUGAUUAUUAUAGGCCCCUUAUAUAUUUAACUUAUAGUAUCCUUGGG
This 417-nucleotide long non-coding RNA is filed under the name Nicotiana benthamiana. RNAcentral's name for it is "long non-coding RNA (NBEN_LNC036622)". The record is from RNAcentral. Lineage: Eukaryota; Viridiplantae; Streptophyta; Magnoliopsida; Solanales; Solanaceae.